GAAGUUGUGGCUCAUUGGUAGAGCACUUGCCUAGCAUGUAUGAGGCACUGGGUUUGAUUCUCAGCACCUCA
This 71-nucleotide transfer RNA is filed under the name Ictidomys tridecemlineatus (thirteen-lined ground squirrel). Its description in RNAcentral is "Spermophilus tridecemlineatus (thirteen-lined ground squirrel) tRNA". It matches the Rfam family "tRNA". Rfam says of the family: Transfer RNA (tRNA) molecules are approximately 80 nucleotides in length. Lineage: Eukaryota; Metazoa; Chordata; Mammalia; Rodentia; Sciuridae. The record is from Rfam by way of RNAcentral.